RNAcentral lists this ribosomal RNA (455 nucleotides) under uncultured bacterium. RNAcentral describes it as "bacterial SSU rRNA". It matches the Rfam family "Bacterial small subunit ribosomal RNA", at positions 8 to 507 of the family's 1533-position model. The record is from RNAcentral.
AGAGUUUGAUCAUGGCUCAGAGCGAACGCUGGCGGCAGGCCUAACACAUGCAAGUCGAACGGAUCCUUCGGGGAUUAGUGGCGGACGGGUGAGUAACACGUGGGAACGUGCCUUUUGGUUCGGAACAACUCAGGGAAACUUGAGCUAAUACCGAAUGUGCCCUUCGGGGGAAAGAUUUAUCGCCAUUAGAGCGGCCCGCGUCUGAUUAGCUUGUUGGUGAGGUAAAAGGCUCACCAAGGCUACGAUCAGUAGCUGGUCUGAGAGGAUGAUCAGCCACAUUGGGACUGAGACACGGCCCAAACUCCUACGGGAGGCAGCAGUGGGGAAUCUUGCGCAAUGGGCGAAAGCCUGACGCAGCCAUGCCGCGUGAAUGAUGAAGGUCUUAGGAUUGUAAAAUUCUUUCACCGGGGACGAUAAUGACGGUACCCGGAGAAGAAGCCCCGGCUAACUUCGUG